Molecule: long non-coding RNA, 335 nt
Filed under: Nicotiana benthamiana
Lineage: Eukaryota; Viridiplantae; Streptophyta; Magnoliopsida; Solanales; Solanaceae
Description: long non-coding RNA (NBEN_LNC010478)
Source: RNAcentral
AUAAGGCUCGUGGCACUCUGAGAUGCUACUAGGGAAUAUUGUAUCCUAUGUUGGCAAAACAUAACGCAGCCAGGGGAUGCAGUAUCCUGUAUUGGCAAUAAGAUGAGGCUGAUGGAGCUCUGAAAUGUUACUAGGGAAGGUUGUACCCGAUGUUGGCAAUAAAAUGAGGCUCGUAUCACUCUUAGAUGGCUACUAUGGGAUGAUGUACCCUAUGUUAGCAAUGAGAAAUGAGGUAUGUGGCACUCUGAAAUACUACUAGGGAAUGUUAUACCCUAUAUUGGCAGAAAAUAACGUAGCCAUGGGAUAUAGUACCAUGUGUUGUCACUAAGAUGAGG